RNAcentral lists this ribosomal RNA (465 nucleotides) under Vreelandella stevensii. RNAcentral describes it as "partial 16S ribosomal RNA". It matches the Rfam family "Bacterial small subunit ribosomal RNA", at positions 338 to 795 of the family's 1533-position model. Lineage: Bacteria; Pseudomonadati; Pseudomonadota; Gammaproteobacteria; Oceanospirillales; Halomonadaceae. The record is from RNAcentral.
CCUACGGGCGGCUGCAGUGGGGAAUAUUGGACAAUGGGCGAAAGCCUGAUCCAGCCAUGCCGCGUGUGUGAAGAAGGCCUUCGGGUUGUAAAGCACUUUCAGUGGGGAAGAAAGCCUUGGGGCUAAUACCCUCGAGGAAGGACAUCACCCACAGAAGAAGCACCGGCUAACUCCGUGCCAGCAGCCACGGUAAUACGGAGGGUGCGAGCGUUAAUCGGAAUUACUGGGCGUAAAGCGCGCGUAGGCGGUCUGAUAAGCCGGUUGUGAAAGCCCCGGGCUCAACCUGGGAACGGCAUCCGGAACUGUCAGGCUAGAGUGCAGGAGAGGAAGGUAGAAUUCCCGGUGUAGCGGUGAAAUGCGUAGAGAUCGGGAGGAAUACCAGUGGCGAAGGCGGCCUUCUGGACUGACACUGACGCUGAGGUGCGAAAGCGUGGGUAGCAAACAGGAUUAGAUACCCUAGUAGUC